RNAcentral lists this transfer RNA (90 nucleotides) under Candidatus Kinetoplastidibacterium kentomonadis. Its description in RNAcentral is "Candidatus Kinetoplastibacterium sorsogonicusi tRNA-Ser". It matches the Rfam family "tRNA". From Rfam's summary of the family: Transfer RNA (tRNA) molecules are approximately 80 nucleotides in length. Their secondary structure includes four short double-helical elements and three loops (D, anti-codon, and T loops). Further hydrogen bonds mediate the characteristic L-shaped molecular structure. tRNAs have two regions of fundamental functional importance: the anti-codon, which is responsible for specific mRNA codon recognition, and the 3' end, to which the tRNAs corresponding amino acid is attached (by aminoacyl-tRNA synthetases). tRNAs cope with the degeneracy of the genetic code in two manners: having more than one tRNA (with a specific anti-codon) for a particular amino acid; and 'wobble' base-pairing, i.e. permitting non-standard base-pairing at the 3rd anti-codon position. Lineage: Bacteria; Pseudomonadati; Pseudomonadota; Betaproteobacteria. The record is from RNAcentral.
GGAUGGAUGGCCGAGUGGUUUAAGGCGCACGCCUGGAAAGCGUGUAUACGCUAAAACGUAUCGGGGGUUCGAAUCCCCCUCCAUCCGCCA